This 141-nucleotide ribosomal RNA is filed under the name uncultured bacterium. RNAcentral's name for it is "partial 16S rRNA". It matches the Rfam family "Bacterial small subunit ribosomal RNA", at positions 355 to 511 of the family's 1533-position model. The record is from RNAcentral.
UGGGGAAUUUUCCGCGAUGGGCGAAAGCCUGACGGAGCAAUGCCGCGUGGAGGUGGAAGGCCUACGGGUCGUCAACUUCUUUUCUCGGAGAAGAAACAAUGACGGUAUCUGAGGAAUAAGCAUCGGCUAACUCUGUGUCAG